This 404-nucleotide ribosomal RNA is filed under the name Brucella melitensis. RNAcentral's name for it is "partial 16S ribosomal RNA". It matches the Rfam family "Bacterial small subunit ribosomal RNA", at positions 355 to 776 of the family's 1533-position model. Lineage: Bacteria; Pseudomonadati; Pseudomonadota; Alphaproteobacteria; Hyphomicrobiales; Brucellaceae. The record is from RNAcentral. RNAcentral also lists the same sequence under 1 other name.
UGGGGAAUAUUGGACAAUGGGCGCAAGCCUGAUCCAGCCAUGCCGCGUGAGUGAUGAAGGCCCUAGGGUUGUAAAGCUCUUUCACCGGUGAAGAUAAUGACGGUAACCGGAGAAGAAGCCCCGGCUAACUUCGUGCCAGCAGCCGCGGUAAUACGAAGGGGGCUAGCGUUGUUCGGAUUUACUGGGCGUAAAGCGCACGUAGGCGGACUUUUAAGUCAGGGGUGAAAUCCCGGGGCUCAACCCAGGAACUGCCUUUGAUACUGGAAGUCUUGAGUAUGGUAGAGGUGAGUGGAAUUCCGAGUGUAGAGGUGAAAUUCGUAGAUAUUCGGAGGAACACCAGUGGCGAAGGCGGCUCACUGGACCAUUACUGACGCUGAGGUGCGAAAGCGUGGGGAGCAAACAGG